RNAcentral lists this ribosomal RNA (922 nucleotides) under uncultured bacterium. RNAcentral describes it as "bacterial SSU rRNA". It matches the Rfam family "Bacterial small subunit ribosomal RNA", at positions 60 to 972 of the family's 1533-position model. The record is from RNAcentral.
AGUCGANCGGCAGCACGGGAGCUUGCUCCUGGUGGCGAGUGGCGAACGGGUGAGUAAUAUAUCGGAACGUAUCCAAUAAUGGGGGAUAACUAAUCGAAAGGUUGGCUAAUACCGCAUACGCCCUGAGGGGGAAAGCUGGGGAUCUUCGGACCUAGCGUUGAUGGAGCGGCCGAUAUCGGAUUAGCUAGUUGGUGAGGUAAAGGCUCACCAAGGCGACGAUCCGUAGCUGGUCUGAGAGGACGACCAGCCACACUGGAACUGAGACACGGUCCAGACUCCUACGGGAGGCAGCAGUGGGGAAUUUUGGACAAUGGGCGCAAGCCUGAUCCAGCCAUUCCGCGUGAGUGAAGAAGGCCUUCGGGUUGUAAAGCUCUUUCGCAAGGGAAGAAACGAUUUAGGUGAAUAAUCUAAGUUAAUGACGGUACCUUGAUAAGAAGCACCGGCUAACUACGUGCCAGCAGCCGCGGUAAUACGUAGGGUGCGAGCGUUAAUCGGAAUUACUGGGCGUAAAGCGUGCGCAGGCUGUUUUGUAAGUCAGAUGUGAAAUCCCCGAGCUCAACUUGGGAACUGCGUUUGAAACUACAAGACUAGAAUAUGUCAGAGGGGGGUAGAAUUCCACGUGUAGCAGUGAAAUGCGUAGAGAUGUGGAGGAAUAUCAAUGGCGAAGGCAGCCCCCUGGGAUAAUAUUGGCGCUCAUGCACGAAAGCGUGGGGAGCAAACAGGAUUANAUACCCUGGUAGUCCACGCCCUAAACGAUGUCNACUAGUUGUUGNUAGAGUAAAAUCUAUGAGUAACGCAGCUAACGCGUGAAGUUGACCGCCUGGGGAGUACGAUCGCAAGAUUAAAACUCAAAUGAAUUGACGGGGGGCCCGCACAAGCGGNNGNNNUAUGUGGANUAAUUCNNUGCAACGCGAAAAACCNU